RNAcentral lists this transfer RNA (72 nucleotides) under Ovis aries (sheep). It matches the Rfam family "tRNA". Rfam says of the family: Transfer RNA (tRNA) molecules are approximately 80 nucleotides in length. Their secondary structure includes four short double-helical elements and three loops (D, anti-codon, and T loops). Lineage: Eukaryota; Metazoa; Chordata; Mammalia; Artiodactyla; Bovidae. The record is from Rfam by way of RNAcentral.
UCCCUGGUGGUCUAGUGGUUAGGAUUUGGUGCUUUCACUGCCAUGGCCAGGAGUUCAAUCCCUGCUGGGGGA